RNAcentral lists this transfer RNA (62 nucleotides) under Neotoma lepida (desert woodrat). It matches the Rfam family "tRNA", at positions 6 to 65 of the family's 71-position model. From Rfam's summary of the family: Transfer RNA (tRNA) molecules are approximately 80 nucleotides in length. Their secondary structure includes four short double-helical elements and three loops (D, anti-codon, and T loops). The record is from Rfam by way of RNAcentral. Lineage: Eukaryota; Metazoa; Chordata; Mammalia; Rodentia; Cricetidae.
UAUAGUUCAGUUGGUAGAGCGCUUGCCUAGCAUGCAGGAAGCCCUGGAUUCUACUCCUAGUA